RNAcentral lists this microRNA precursor (103 nucleotides) under Petromyzon marinus (sea lamprey). Its description in RNAcentral is "let-7a-2 stem-loop (pma-let-7a-2)". Its record names the gene pma-let-7a-2. The stretch from base 11 to 91 matches the Rfam family "let-7 microRNA precursor family". From Rfam's summary of the family: This family represents the microRNAs (miRNA) let-7 and mir-98. let-7 was identified from a study of developmental timing in C. elegans, and was later shown to be part of a much larger class of non-coding RNAs termed miRNAs. The record is from miRBase by way of RNAcentral. Lineage: Eukaryota; Metazoa; Chordata; Hyperoartia; Petromyzontiformes; Petromyzontidae.
UGAGUGCGCCCUGGGAUGAGGUAGUAGGUUGUAUAGUUUCAGGGUCACACCCAAACUGGGAGUUAACUGUACAAUCUACUCUCUUUCCCAAGGCGGCACGCUG